GAUGCUGCUGAAAUCUCCACCUUAUAAUCCUCAACUCCACAAGUCUCAAACUCCCUUUUCAGUUCACCUUUUAUGGAGCAAUCAUCUUCCUUCUUCUCCUGUGAAGGAGCUGAGAGAGUUUUCUUCGAAUCAUCGGCGGAAAUCUGCUCCCCGCUUUUCCCCUGUUUCUGCGAGUUUGCCAAGCUUUGACAAAUAGCUUGCAACUUUGCAUCAACAGAGGAAUGGAGAGGCUUGUAGUCGCCAAAUUCUCC
RNAcentral lists this unclassified non-coding RNA (251 nucleotides) under Hevea brasiliensis (rubber tree). Lineage: Eukaryota; Viridiplantae; Streptophyta; Magnoliopsida; Malpighiales; Euphorbiaceae. The record is from RNAcentral.